This 427-nucleotide ribosomal RNA is filed under the name uncultured bacterium. RNAcentral describes it as "partial 16S ribosomal RNA". It matches the Rfam family "Bacterial small subunit ribosomal RNA", at positions 355 to 774 of the family's 1533-position model. The record is from RNAcentral.
UGGGGAAUAUUGCACAAUGGGCGCAAGCCUGAUGCAGCCAUGCCGCGUGUAUGAAGAAGGCCUUCGGGUUGUAAAGUACUUUCAGCGGGGAGGAAGGUGUUGUGGUUAAUAACCACAGCAAUUGACGUUACCCGCAGAAGAAGCACCGGCUAACUCCGUGCCAGCAGCCGCGGUAAUACGGAGGGUGCAAGCGUUAAUCGGAAUUACUGGGCGUAAAGCGCACGCAGGCGGGCUGUCAAGUCGGAUGUGAAAUCCCCGGGCUCAACCUGGGAACUGCAUCCGAAACUGGCAGGCUUGAGUCUUGUAGAGGGGGGUAGAAUUCCAGGUGUAGCGGUGAAAUGCGUAGAGAUCUGGAGGAAUACCGGUGGCGAAGGCGGCCCCCUGGACAAAGACUGACGCUCAGGUGCGAAAGCGUGGGGAGCAAACA